RNAcentral lists this ribosomal RNA (885 nucleotides) under uncultured bacterium. RNAcentral describes it as "bacterial SSU rRNA". It matches the Rfam family "Bacterial small subunit ribosomal RNA", at positions 8 to 883 of the family's 1533-position model. The record is from RNAcentral.
AGAGUUUGAUCCUGGCUCAGGAUGAACGCUAGCUACAGGCUUAACACAUGCAAGUCGAGGGGAAACGAUAGAGAAAGCUUGCUUUUUCUAGGCGUCGACCGGCGCACGGGUGAGUAACGCGUAUCCAACCUGCCCACCACUUGGGGAUAACCUUGCGAAAGUAAGACUAAUACCCAAUGACGUCUCUAGAAGGCAUCUGAAAGGGAUUAAAGAUUUAUCGGUGAUGGAUGGGGAUGCGUCUGAUUAGCUUGUUGGCGGGGUAACGGCCCACCAAGGCAACGAUCAGUAGGGGUUCUGAGAGGAAGGUCCCCCACAUUGGAACUGAGACACGGUCCAAACUCCUACGGGAGGCAGCAGUGAGGAAUAUUGGUCAAUGGGCGAGAGCCUGAACCAGCCAAGUAGCGUGCAGGAUGACGGCCCUAUGGGUUGUAAACUGCUUUUAUAAGGGAAUAAAGUGAGCCUCGUGAGGCUUUUUGCAUGUACCUUAUGAAUAAGGACCGGCUAAUUCCGUGCCAGCAGCCGCGGUAAUACGGAAGGUCCGGGCGUUAUCCGGAUUUAUUGGGUUUAAAGGGAGCGUAGGCUGGAGAUUAAGCGUGUUGUGAAAUGUAGAUGCUCAACAUCUGCACUGCAGCGCGAACUGGUUUCCUUGAGUACGCACAAAGUGGGCGGAAUUCGUGGUGUAGCGGUGAAAUGCUUAGAUAUCACGAAGAACUCCGAUUGCGAAGGCAGCUCACUGGAGCGCAACUGACGCUGAAGCUCGAAAGUGCGGGUAUCGAACAGGAUUAGAUACCCUGGUAGUCCGCACGGUAAACGAUGGAUGCCCGCUGUUGGUCUGAAUAGGUCAGCGGCCAAGCGAAAGCAUUAAGCAUCCCACCUGGGGAGUAC